This is a long non-coding RNA of Neoarius graeffei (lesser salmon catfish), 3216 nucleotides long. RefSeq lists it as uncharacterized. The record is from RefSeq and is a predicted model, not a curated record. NCBI's taxonomy places the organism in Eukaryota, Metazoa, Chordata, Actinopteri, Siluriformes, Ariidae. The transcript is spliced from 2 exons.
UGUAGUUUUUUGGGGAUUUGCUCCGUGUGGGACGCCAUGUUUUUUUUAGUGUUUACCCGCCUUUGCCCUGCAAGGUGCAAUGAAGUUGAGUGUUACGGUGAGAAUAAAGAAAGGGCAAGGUCUCCGCCAUAAUCCGAACUCCUGCGUCUGGUGUCUCCUUCUCUCCGCAUGACACUCCACUACAACUACAUUCAAAAACAAAUCACAACGCAGAGUCCAGGGGAGGUGUGGAGGGUCUGGCAGCAGAUGUGCCGAGGCAGUGGGUUACAUCUUUGGUACUGUGACCCGGAUUGUGACGCUCGGAGACCGAAGACUGAGGACGACUGAGACUGGCAGUGCUCUACAACCCAAACGAUGCUGGACGCCCGGUCUGCGUUAUCAUCAGUGAGUGAACUGUGCGCCUAGCGUCAGCUCUAUCAACAUCCUGAUAAACUGUAUUUGAAGAAACCGGCUUUUCAUAAGGGACAGUUGCUUUCCUGCUACAUUCCUGCUUCUGGAGACUGCAGUGGAAUAACGUCCACCUUCAACAGUGUAUCCUUCCAAAUAUCGGGUGGGAUAUUAAAGUACUUGUCUUAAUUUUUGAUUUUUUGUGUGAAAAAAAUUAGUGAUAGAUAGUAAGACAAAGCUGAUGUGUUAUUCUCUGAUAGAAAUUUCAUUUACUAGCGAUAUUUAAACUGGUGUUACUUUUCUUGAAGUUUAAGAAAGUUGCGUAUAGACGAAUGGUGGCUAAUUCAUAUUUGUUGUAAGUUAUGGUUAAAAUUUGAUAAUUGUGUUGCACAUAUUUCAUGACACUUUAUCAUAUAACAUAUAAUAAUUUCACAUACACACAGUCUCACGUACCACAUUAACAUACUGAAGUAACCUCGCAGUAUACAUAUUCAGGCCCAGCUAGUAUGUAUUGAGAAACAAAAGAAAAUGUGGAGUGGUUACGCAGAUUCCCCAUUAAGGCUGGAGGCACCCUCUGCCGCAGCCUCCAACAUUCAAUCCUCCCAUGGCCCUGCAACAAGCCCCUACCAUGGCACAGAUGGAACCCAAAUCCACCCUUUGAGCGAUGGGGCAAAGGCAGACCCUGGCACGGUGAGCCCACAGCACUACGUAAAAGACCCCCACCCCCACAGGCACCCUCCAGGGCCUGAAGUAGGCACACAGCUAACCCCACCGCCCCCAGUGCUGUCACCUUAUUGGAUUAAUCCUGCCAAAGCAUCCACCUUUCAAGGUUUAUGAGCUAUAAUGCAGGCCCCCGUGCCCAGGUUUGAUGUCACACCAGCUACAGGACUGAGACGUCAGAUAAACAGGUCAGAUUACAGCUUGCCAAGUGCCAUGUCUCCAAUGGACGUUCCUGUACCCCAGCCAGCAGUGCAGACUGUUACGGGCUCUGCUAUCCCACCUCAAGCUAAUCCCUAUGGGUCCCAACCCUCCCUACCUCUUCCCAGCCCCUCACUUCCCAUCCAACCAGAAGUGCAGGUUGUGCCACAGCCCUCCAUGAAGCACCCAGCCACCUUUCACUACCCUACCCAGCCCAUUAAGCCUAGCUCUCAAAGUUACACUGGCUAUGCACACUCUACCCCUGCUCCCCAGGUGCGUACAGCACCAGCUCCGGUUCACUACCCUCAAGACCCUGCAGCCCCCAUACCCGCACCUGCCACCAGUGUAUGGGACCCAAACACAAUAAUGCCCAGCCACUCAGCUUCUCUUCAGGCCCCUACCUCGGUGCAGCUACAGACACCAGCAGUCAACCCUCAUGCCAUCAUGUAUCCUGGCACCUUCUCACAUACUAUGCCCCUGCCUUAACCUUUGAACCCACUCAUGCACUUGUACCCGUCUGACCCACCCCCAAAGACUCCUGCCAUAACCACAGCUAACCCAGGCAUCUCACAGAUGACUUACGGCGGGUUCAUGCAGACUCACCAGGUCAAGAAUGCCCAAGUAUUCACAGGUAACGCAGAUAGCAAGAUACUUGUUGAUGAUUGGACACGUGAUAUGCAGUAUCUUCUACAGUGUGCGACACUUGAGUGGUGAGGCCAGAAAACUGGUUCUGAAUCUUCCCCCCAUGAACAGACCCCAGAGAAGACAUUUGAGGAAUUAAGAGCAGAGAACGGUGACACACAGAGCUCCUUGGAUCCGCUGGCCGACUUCUAUGAGUGCUGCCAGCGGCCAGGGGAGUCCGCCUGCUCUUCUGCUAUUGUGCUGGAGUCUACAUUGCGGACUGUGGAAGAAAAUCAAAGAGGAGGCAGGCCCUUUCCUGAUCGUGACAGUAAACUCACCUGGCAGUUUCUGAGAGGACUUAAUGAUGAGGAGGUGUAUGCAAGGAUUGUACCAAUGAAACCCAGGCUCUUAAGCUUCAGACAGCUGCAAGUUGAACUACGAAAUCUAGCAAGAGAGACUAAAAAAUUCCAGUCACAACACAAAUCAAAGAACAGACCCUCCAGGAUUUCGCGAUGUUGCGAUUUGCAACUUCAACGCAAAUUCAACCAAUCCCCGCGAAUUCAGGGCAGUGUUGCAAUUAUAUCCAAUCACCGCAACUUUCCCGCAAAUUUGACCAAUCGUUGGCGUCAUCUUGAGGUGACGUCGACAAACUACCUUCCGCAUUACUUCCAGUGUUGCCAGAUUGGGCAGUUUCAAGUGUAUUUUGGCGGGUUUUGAACAUAUUUUGGGCUGGAAAACGUCAGCAGUAUCUGGCAACACUGCUUACUUCCGUGUAUACGUUCAAGAGAAGCAGCAUGUGCGAGUCAGUGUUUAUAUAGGCUUAAAUUCUGUUACUGAAAGUGUGUUAUGUUUACAGUGAAGGACUGUGUUCACUUUACAUUAUUUUUUUACUUAAUACAAGAAAUUAAUGGAUGCCAACAUUUUUGCCAAAAUGGUAUUUUAUUUUCCUUUGUUUAGGCAGCUUCAGCAUCAUACUGUGAGAUUCUGUUCAAAUUGUUUUUUUCUUCUAUGAAGCCUGAGCCAUUUAUUUUAUUAGUUUAUAAUUAUUGUUUAAUUUAGUCUUCAGGAGAGACUGCCUGCACACAGUAUUAGUAUUAAUAAUUGUUUUUUUCUUACAUGAAAGCUGAGGCAUUUAUAUUAUAUUUUAAGGUAACUUCAUGUUGUGCUGUGAGGUUCUAUGCACUUUAACUUUUGGACCAACAGGUGCAUUGGGAUAAGUAAAGCCUAUUUUUCUGCAUGUUUGUAGUCCUGGUAAUCUUUUAUAUUGGUAAAGUUGUUUAUAGGACCAUU